GUGAAUCAUCGAAUCUUUGAACGCAAAUUGCGCUUCCUGGUAUCCCGGGAAGUAUGCCUGUUUGAGGGUCAGUAUUAACAAAAAAUCGGUUUGGGUGCAAAUUGUGACGUUUCCGGGGUUUGGGCUUAUCUUAAAUUUUUUUGUUAAGGGGCUUAAAAUUUACCUUUUUUGCGCCUUUUUAGACGUAAAUAAAUUUUUUUUUUAUUGUUUUUUCUUAAUUCCAAAAUUUUAUUAGAUGCGAUUAA
This 245-nucleotide unclassified non-coding RNA is filed under the name Glomeromycetes sp. RNAcentral describes it as "partial contains 5.8S ribosomal RNA and internal transcribed spacer 2". The stretch from base 1 to 71 matches the Rfam family "5.8S ribosomal RNA", at positions 84 to 154 of the family's 154-position model. Lineage: Eukaryota; Fungi; Glomeromycota; Glomeromycetes. The record is from RNAcentral.